GUAGGUGAACCUGCGGAAGGAUCAUUAACACGUAUCCAAACGUUAAAACCCCCCCCGUGAACUUUCAAUCCUGCUCUUGUAACCCGCGUAGUUCGCAAUCUCUGGUAAAUCAAAGUGGGAGGAAAGUUGUUUGAUUCAGAGACCUCUGGCUACGUGAGAACAUUGGAACAGUUACAAUCGAGCGGUAGUUUCAUAGGCAUUGUUUCCCCAAGCAGUCAGUGUCGGAAAGUGUGGGCAGGAGCUAUGCCAAAGGGUCCCCAUGCCCCCUAAUAACCCCACAGUUUAAUGUAAAGCUCAAUGUAAUACAUUGGAUAAAAAAAACCGAACAACUGUUAACAAUGGAUAUCUUGGUUCUC
Molecule: unclassified non-coding RNA, 356 nt
Filed under: rhizosphere metagenome
Description: partial ribosomal RNA internal transcribed spacer region
Source: RNAcentral